Molecule: long non-coding RNA, 577 nt
Organism: Chinchilla lanigera (long-tailed chinchilla)
Lineage: Eukaryota; Metazoa; Chordata; Mammalia; Rodentia; Chinchillidae
Exons: 3
Source: RefSeq, a predicted model, not a curated record
CCUCAGAGCCCAGCUGUUUUUGUUGCAUCUAAAUGAGAAAAAAAAAAAAAGAAGAAGAAGAAAAGAAAAGAAAAUUAAAUAAAUGAGAAGGCUUCAGUGCUCCUAGGGAAAGAAAGCUCACAAAGUUAGGGUCAGGAAGCAUCUUUUCCUUUGCACUCAGCAGAAUGUUGACAACGUUACCUCUGGUGGAUGACCUGAGUUGGAAGCAGAAGAUUGUUCUCAGGCCUCCAAGAGGUGAGUGCCUUCCCUGCCUGUGCUCCCUCCACGGGGCACUGACUCACCACAGGACCAGCAGUGUGGCCACGGACUGAAACUGUGAGCUGAAACACCUGGAAACAUGAGCCAAGACAGCUCCUUCUUCCCAUGACUCAUCUUACACAUCGUGCCACAGCCACAGAUGCUGACCAGCAGCCCCCCAGUCAAAAUACGAACCAAGCUUUGAGAUACCAACAAGCUGAAGGCCUUCUGCAAGCCCUGGGCUGUGACAAGGAUUGGCACUGUGACGAAGGCCAUCCCCAGAGCGCCUGCCUGGUGGCCGGGUGAACAGCUGCAGCUCGGAGGUGCAGCUCACAGUAAG